Molecule: long non-coding RNA, 127 nt
Organism: Malurus melanocephalus (red-backed fairy wren)
Lineage: Eukaryota; Metazoa; Chordata; Aves; Passeriformes; Maluridae
Exons: 3
Source: RefSeq, a predicted model, not a curated record
ACAGGCUCCCGGGGGCAGACCAUAUGGCAAACCUAGUGGAGGCAGACCAUAUGGUAAACCACAAUCACCUUCCUCAGGCGGUAGUCAAGUGAGCUCUGCUGGGAAACACUCCACKCCCCAACUCCUG